GUUGUACUCUUUAGGAGCAAGAUUGCUGUGCUCUUAGGAGCACGAAGGUUUCCGUGCUUUUGAAUUAUUUUCGAUGAUGAAAUUUUCGAAUUGACGAUUGGCUCCGUUAGACUUGAUCUGGCGUAUUUAAAGUUUUUGGAAAAUAAUUUUUGCGAUUUUUCGAUAUCAUUUACCCAGUGAUCAAAAGAGUUCAAAAUCAAAAAUAUUUAAUGGUUGAUGUCUACCGUUCUCAAGUUUAAUAGUGUGGAAGUAUUCAAAUCAGAUAAAAUUUUAAUACAAAAUUCUUUAUACUAUUCACAACAAGAUCAAUAUCUCUGAUAAAAAGUUUUAAUGUUAUAUCAACACCUUUUAUAAGAUUUUUAUUUUCAAUCGUUGAUGUUAAAUCCUUUCGAUUGUUAGGUAAAUGAUAUAGAAAAGCCGCAAAAAUUAUUUUUUAAAUACUUUAAAUAUGCUAGAUCAAGUCUAAUAGAGUCGAUCGUCGAUUCGAAAAUUUUAUUAUUAAAGACGAUUAAGAAGCACGAAAACCUCCGUACUCAAGAGCACAACAUUCUUGCUCUAUCAAAUAGAUACUUGCAUAAUCUUGUUUUGCUUUCCUUUAACAUAGCAGUUAAAUAGUUUAUUGUGAUUUGUUGCUCCAUGUAUGUUUUUCUAUUUACAGCUGAAUCUGAAGGAUAAGAUGAUAUUUAGUAUCUCUUAAUCUAACAUCACUAAUUUUAUUUUAAAAAAUUUAAUUUAUUAUAAAAAAUAUUAUAGUUUUAUAUUCAAUUAAUUGGUUAAAAAGAAGUAUAAAAUUUUGAUUUUAGGCUAUAAAUAAAUUAUGUUGCAUAAUUCUAUAGAGUAAGUGCAUUCUCUAGAACAAUACUUUUAGAGACAAUGUAACAUACUAGAUUUUGGUAUAAAAAUAAAAAAUAAAUAAAAAUAGUUUGAGAAACUAUUUUUAUUGAAUUUAGAUAAGUAAAAUAUAAGUCAGAAAUGACUUGUGUUGAAAUCAGAAUGAAAACAGAAAAUUUAGAAUUUUCUGUUGGAAACGGGACAAAUAAAUUAGCAGAAAAUGUAUAGUGUCAGAAAAUUAUGAAAACUGGAGGAUAAGUCAGAAUUAUUUUUAUGACGCUAGAUUUAAAGUUUUAUAUCAUUCUGACACCCGGAAGGUGGAAAAUAAAAUCCGACAGCUAUCUGAUAAAGAUUACAGUUCGGUACAAUUUUCGAUGACCAAAUAGAGUCGAAACUGAGAUAUUAAAAUUUCUUUGGACUCGUUAAGUAAAACCGAGAAUGACUACCAAAUUUGAGCUCAAACGGAUAUUCAGGGAGCUCCGACGAAAGAUAUCAGAUUUUGACCUGCCGGGAGAUGAAUAGUGUUUUGGGGUGUAAUUAUAAAUGAAGCAAUUUGUUU
Molecule: long non-coding RNA, 1390 nt
Filed under: Ananas comosus (pineapple)
Lineage: Eukaryota; Viridiplantae; Streptophyta; Magnoliopsida; Poales; Bromeliaceae
Description: long non-coding RNA (ACOM_LNC035555)
Source: RNAcentral